AUAUGAAUAAGGACAAUGGAGUUGUGGCAAGCAUACCCUGGCAGGGGCCUCCCACCAUUCAGAGGAGGACAUGUUUAGAAUAUGCUUAUAAGGACACUCAGAUUCCCAUGAUCUUAAUCACUCAGCAGCCUCUCUUCUGAGGUGGGUCAAUCAACUUGCCCUUUCCAGCACAGUGGGUGGCGGGAAAAGAUGGGUCACUGUGACAUCUGGUGUCCAGGCUAGAUCUGAGAAAAUGACAAUCUGUGUCUCUGUCAGUGAGGCAUCCACCACUCAUCUGUUAUUCUGUUGGGAAGGUUCAUUUCAGGGUUCAAGCAGAACUGGUGCUGCCAUGGGAGAUACUUUAAAAAGUAUAUUUUACUGCUUGAGGAAAUGGAUACCUCAUUCUUCAUGAUGUGAUUAUUUCAUAUUGCAUGCCUGUAUCAAAACAUCUCAUAUAUCCCAUAAAUAGAUACACCACAAAAAUUCAAAAUAAAAAUAAAAGUAAGUAUUUUAGGUCUUACAGAUUGCAUAUUGGUGAUUCCAUAUAGUUUGAAAGGGCUUUGGGUAUCCAUAGUGUCAUAUUAAAAUGUGACUCCCCCUAAAAGAGAUUAUAAUGUGAUUGUUAGGUCCUCUUCCUGGGGAGUGGUAGGUGGGUUGCUUCCUGAACAAACAAUUUAGCGAAGCCCCUAGGAUUGUGGUUCCAGUAAUGCGGAGAGAGCCACGGAAUGAGGAGCAGGGGGAGCUACCAAGUGUAGGCCAAGUUCAGGACAGUGUCAGGACCCACUCUGCAGAAUUUUUUUCUUUUUCUAUGACCUUGUACCUCCUCCUGAGGUUUGCUGAUCUGUCUGCUUCUUUCCACAGGGAUUAACUUGCAUAGUUUCCAAGACAAUGAAAAUCAAACCAGGAUACAUGGGAACGGCUGCUUCCUGUUAUGAUGUACAGGUUAUAGAUGAUAAGGGCAACAUCCUGCCCCCUGGCACAGAAGGAGACAUUGGCAUCAGGGUCAAACCCAUCAGGCCUAUAGGCAUCUUCUCUGGCUAUGUGGACAAUCCUGACAAGACAGCAGCCAACAUUCGAGGAGACUUUUGGCUCCUUGGAGACCGGGGAAUCAAAGAUGAAGAUGGGUAUUUCCAGUUUAUGGGACGGGCAGAUGAUAUCAUUAACUCCAGCGGGUACCGGAUUGGACCCUCGGAGGUAGAGAAUGCACUGAUGAAGCACCCUGCUGUGGUUGAGACGGCUGUGAUCAGCAGCCCAGACCCCGUCCGAGGAGAGGUGAUGGGGAAGCAGUAGCCUGGGGGUGAACACAUAUGAACACAAGGGCAGUGUAGUAUGAUGGUUUAAGAACAGGGACUGUGUGGCUGAACACUCUGAAACCCAAUCUUGGCCCUGCCACUUACUAGCUAUGUGACCUUGGGCAAGCUACUUGGCCUCUCUGUUUCUCAGUUUCCUCAUCUGUAAGAUGAGGGAUUGUUAUGAGGGUUAAAUGUGCUAAUAUUUGUAAAGUACUUAAGUAUGGUGAUUUCUCAAAAAAGUAAACAGAACUACCAUAUGAUCCAGCAAUCCCACUACUGGGUAUUUAUCCAAGGGAAAAGAAAUUAACAUAUCAAAAGAUGUCUACACUCCCAUGUUAAUUGCAGCACUAUUCACAAUACGAAGAUAUGGGAUCAACCUAAGUAUCCAAUGGAUGAAAGGAUAAAUAAUAUGUGGUAUAUAUACACAAUGGAAUACUAUUUGGCAUUAAAAAAGAAUGAAAUCAUGUCAUCUGCAGCAACAUGGAGAGAACUGGAGGUCAUUAUGUUAAGUGAAGUAAGCCAGGCACAGAAAGAUAAAUAUCACGUAUUUCCACUCAUGAGUAAGUGCUAAAAUAGCUGAUCUCAUGGAGAUAAAGAGUAGAGUGAUAGAUACCAGAGGCUGGGAAGGGUGUGUGGGUGGGAAAGCGGGGGAUGAAGAGAGGUUGGUGAACGGGUAUAAACAUACAGUUAGAUAGCAGCAAUAAGUUCGAAUGUUCAAUAGCAGAGUAGGGUGACUAUAGUUAACAACCAUGUAUUGUAUAUUUCAAAAUAGCUAGAAGAAAGGACUUGAAAUGUUCUCAACACACACAAAUUAUAAAUACUCAAGGUGAUGGACACCCCAAGUAACCUAACUUGAUAAUUACAAUAUUUGCGCUUAGCAAAAUGUCACUUGUACCCAAUACAUAUGUACAAAUAUUAUGAAAUGAUAAAAACUUUUAGAAAGUAAAGUGCUUGGUUGGGAGGCCGAGGCAGAUGGAUCACGAGGUCGGGAGUCCAAGACCAGCCUGGCCUACUAAAAAUACAAAAAUUGGCCGGGCACGGUGGCAGGCAUCUGUAAUCCCAGCUACUCAAGAGGCUGCAGCAGGAGAAUCACAUGAACCCGGGGGGCGGAGGUUGCAGUGAGCCGAGAUCACGCCUCUGCACUCUAGCCUGGGUGACAGAGUAAGACUCUGUCUC
Molecule: small RNA, 2447 nt
Filed under: Pan troglodytes (chimpanzee)
Lineage: Eukaryota; Metazoa; Chordata; Mammalia; Primates; Hominidae
Description: retained intron
Source: RNAcentral